GAUGAACGCUGGCGGCGUGCCUAAUACAUGCAAGUCGAGCGAACGGACGAGAAGCUUGCUUCUCUGAUGUUAGCGGCGGACGGGUGAGUAACACGUGGAUAACCUACCUCUACGACUGGGAUAACUUUGGGAAACCGGAGCUUAUACCGGAUAAUAUUUUGAACCGCAUGGUUCCAAAGUGAAAGACGGUCUUUCUGUCACUUAUAGAUUGAUCCGCGCUGCAUUAGCUAGUUGGUAAGGUAACGGCUUAGCAAGGCAACGAUGCAUAGCCGACCUGAGAGGGUGGUCGCAUAGACUGGAAGUGAGACACAGUCCAGACUCCUACGGGAGGCAGCAGUAGGGAAUCUUACGCGAUGGACGAGAGCGUGACGGAGCAACGCCGGGUGAGUGCUGAAGGUCCUCGGAUCGUAGAACUCUGUUAUUAGUGAAGAACAUAUGUGUAAGUAACUGUGCACAUCUUGACGGUACCUAAUCAGAAAGCUACGGCUAACUACGUG
Molecule: ribosomal RNA, 497 nt
Filed under: uncultured bacterium
Lineage: Bacteria
Description: partial 16S ribosomal RNA
Rfam family: Bacterial small subunit ribosomal RNA
Source: RNAcentral